CCGACCCCUGAGCCCCCCUUCAGGAACCGUUCGGAGCUCGAGACAUGUCGCGAUUGAGGAGAUACGAGGUGGCGCUGGAAGCGGAGGAGGAGAUCUACUGGGGCUGCUUCUACUUUUUUCCUUGGCUGCGAAUGUGGCGCAGGGAGCGGAGGUGAGGGGGCUGCGAUCUCGUGGGGGCAUGAACGAGGUUCAGUGUCGGUGGACGGAUGUGGGGGAGUCCAGGCGCCCCUGCCCCGCCUCAUGUCAUUGUCGGGUCGCCCUACAGCUCGGCGCACCCCCGGGAGCAGAAGCUGGAGCCUCUGCGGGGCCUAAUGAGCUGUUUGUCGAGCGGCCUGAGGCCUGCUCCCCAGCGCUCAGGUCGCGGUCUCCUCUGUCGCACCCCCACCGCUGCUGCACAGACAGCCGGUGCAUUAAAGAUUUAAAGUCACGCCCACUGCCUUCCUGACUUUACCGCCGCAGCCGCCACUGGUGCUGGGAAUCCCACUCCACACCUGCUGUUUCUUAGCCCACAGGGCAUCCCUCCCUGGUAGGAAGCCCUUGCAUGUCUAAGCCUCCAAUGUCCCUAAAGGUCAAGCUGCCAAUUACUAUCAGUGACUGGCUCCCUGCCACGCCCUCCCCAAAAGCACCCACACUGAGAGUGUAGGCCACAUCUGUCCACCACUUCCCAGUAUUCCCACAACUUCAGCUAUUACCAUCUUCCUCUAGCCGUGACUUUGCCUGAUGUCUGAAGAAUCUUUUCUUGGGAGUGGGUCUAAAACAUUUUAGCCAAAGUUGUAGAGUCAACUGUCAGUGAGAGGAAGGACCAGUUCCUAGAAGCUGCCUCCAGCAGUGUACCCUAGGAGAGUGACAAGGGUUGAGGAUCCAAGUUCCUUCCUAUAGUCCAAACCCCAAACUGGCUCCCCCAGUCUGAUCCCAAAUUUGUGUGUGUGUGUUUGUAUUUAAUUUUUAUCAUGUAUGUCUGUAAUGUGUGUGUGCCCAUAACAGUGCAUGUGCAUGCGGAGGUCAAAGGGACAGCUUGUGAGGGUCAGUUCUCUUUUUCUACCGUAUGGGUUCCAGGGAUGGGACUCAGGUUCUCGGGCUUGGCACCCUGGCCAUCACAGUUUUAAAAGUCCUUGUCAUCAGGGAGAACUUGCAGUUUGCUAAGAAUCCUGCUACCCCCCCCCCAUGUUUACCUUGCCCACCCAGAUCACUCUGGGAGUUAACCCUUAUA
RNAcentral lists this long non-coding RNA (1210 nucleotides) under Rattus norvegicus (Norway rat). RNAcentral describes it as "long non-coding RNA NONRATT023167". Lineage: Eukaryota; Metazoa; Chordata; Mammalia; Rodentia; Muridae. The record is from RNAcentral.